Molecule: ribosomal RNA, 253 nt
Filed under: uncultured bacterium
Lineage: Bacteria
Description: partial 16S ribosomal RNA
Rfam family: Bacterial small subunit ribosomal RNA
Source: RNAcentral
GACGGAGGGGGCAAGCGUUGUCCGGAAUCACUGGGCGUAAAGAGCGCGUAGGUGGUUUGGUCAGUCGGCGGUGAAAGCCCCCGGCUCAACCGGGGGAGGACUGCCGAUACUGCCAAACUUGAGGACCGGAGAGGGAAGUGGAAUUCCCGGUGUAGCGGUGAAAUGCGUAGAGAUCGGGAGGAACACCCGUGGCGAAGGCGGCUUCCUGGACGGUCCCUGACGCUGAGGCGCGAAAGCCAGGGGAGCGAACGGG